CCUACGGGAGGCAGCAGUGAGGGAUAUUGGUCAAUGGGGGAAACCCUGAACCAGCAACGCCGCGUGAGGGAAGACGGUUUUCGGAUUGUAAACCUCUGUCCUCUGUGAAGAUGAUGACGGUAGCAGAGGAGGAAGCUCCGGCUAACUACGUGCCAGCAGCCGCGGUAAUACGUAGGGGGCAAGCGUUAUCCGGAUUUACUGGGUGUAAAGGGAGCGUAGACGGCUGUGCAAGUCUGAAGUGAAAGCCCAGGGCUCAACCCUGGGACUGCUUUGGAAACUGUGGAGCUAGAGUGCUGGAGAGGUAA
This 305-nucleotide ribosomal RNA is filed under the name uncultured bacterium. Its description in RNAcentral is "bacterial SSU rRNA". It matches the Rfam family "Bacterial small subunit ribosomal RNA", at positions 338 to 660 of the family's 1533-position model. The record is from RNAcentral.